GGAGUGGUAGUUCAGCUGGUUAGAAUACCUGCCUGUCACGGGGUCGCGGGUUCGAGUCCCGUCCGUUCCGCCA
RNAcentral lists this transfer RNA (73 nucleotides) under Pasteurella multocida. Its description in RNAcentral is "tRNA-OTHER". It matches the Rfam family "tRNA". From Rfam's summary of the family: Transfer RNA (tRNA) molecules are approximately 80 nucleotides in length. Their secondary structure includes four short double-helical elements and three loops (D, anti-codon, and T loops). Lineage: Bacteria; Pseudomonadati; Pseudomonadota; Gammaproteobacteria; Pasteurellales; Pasteurellaceae. The record is from RNAcentral.